Pseudopipra pipra is the source of this 924-nucleotide long non-coding RNA. RefSeq lists it as uncharacterized. The transcript is spliced from 4 exons. Lineage: Eukaryota; Metazoa; Chordata; Aves; Passeriformes; Pipridae. The record is from RefSeq and is a predicted model, not a curated record.
UGGGAUUUCCUGAUCAUCUCAACUGCAGUUUGGCAUUUUUUCACCAGUGUUAUCCAGUCCUCAGGUGAAGCUGCUCUGUGUUGAAGAUGCUACAGACACCCAGCUGCAGAGCCCUGGGCCCAGGAGGCUCUAGGCACCGGAGGGGAGGUGAUCCAGGGGUUCUGCCACCUUCUCACAGACAGUCCAGUGCUUCAGGGCCCCUGCUGGUAAGAGGUCACUGUGGAGGAGAGAUAGGUAGGAGCUCCCACAGGAAAGCCAUCCUUUCAGGCAGUAUCUCAGUCUGUGCUUUUGCCUUUGGCUUUUUUACUUUGCAGAGAAUGUGUGCAGCCUCAGAGGGCUGGAGCCACCUGCCAAUUAGGUUUGAUGGUCUUCAUCUGUCCUUGUGAGUAAUCUCCUAGUACUACGAGGGUCAUCAAUUAAGGCUGGACCUUUCCCAGUUGCAGGUGCCAUCCAGCCUGCCUUUGGCCAAGGAGGAGCAUUGAGGUUGAGUUGGGGAGGUAGGGAGGAGGUCCUGGGGUCUCCCUUACUUUCAGAAACACCCCAUAACUUUUUUUCUCACUCCCCCAGGUACGGCACACGGUGAUGGCAGCAGCCUCCGACUGGGGUCGGAGCCAGUGGCCCGAGAACCUCUCAGCUCAGGGGAGGCGACCGAGUCAGUGAUCACAGGACCCUCUGAGCCAGCCGGGCGUCCUUCCUUCACAUCGAAGAUGGAUUCACAUCCCCAGCUGUGGGAAAGAUAAGUGGGGGACUCCCACCUGGAGAGGGGAUGAGAGCUGGGUCCAGUUUUAUGUUUAGGAGGGAGGGAUUGUCAAAUGAGCACAGGGGAAAGGGUCUGCCCUAACAGGCCCUUGGCACACACAGGAGGAGCAGUUUACUUUUCAUCAUGGAGUAGGAUGUGCAGGGCAGAGCUGUUCAGGUCUGUGU